RNAcentral lists this ribosomal RNA (254 nucleotides) under uncultured bacterium. RNAcentral describes it as "partial 16S ribosomal RNA". It matches the Rfam family "Bacterial small subunit ribosomal RNA", at positions 524 to 776 of the family's 1533-position model. The record is from RNAcentral.
CACGUAGGGUGCGAGCGUUGUCCGGAAUUAUUGGGCGUAAAGAGCUCGUAGGCGGUGUGUCGCGUCGGCCGUGAAAACCUGCAGCUUAACUGUGGGCGUGCGGUCGAUACGGGCAUCACUGGAGUUCGGCAGGGGAGACUGGAAUUCCUGGUGUAGCGGUGAAAUGCGCAGAUAUCAGGAGGAACACCAGCGGCGAAGGCGGGUAGCUGGGCCAACACUGACGCUGAUGCGCGAAAGCUAGGGUAGCAAACGGG